GUUUAUAUUCCGCUGCGAUUGUUGAAGUUUAUAUACAUGUUUAUUGGUUUUGAAUUUUUGUAUGAUGGCGUAGCCUCUAUUUCUUGAAUAAAUGUAUUAUUCGCAUGUUUAAUUGCUUUAAUAGAAAUAGGAGUGUUACAAUAUCCAAUGGGGAUGAGAAAUUGAAUCUCAUCCCCGUCUCCAAUGGGUUCGGGUAAUCCCGCCUCAUCCCCUUCCCCGCAGUGAAUCAAUUUUUUUUUAAUAGAAUAUAAUAUAGCUAUAAAUAGUACAAAAUUCAUGGUGACAUCAUUAGAGACAUCCAUUGCAUGAAUAGAGGCGACUAAUUCAUUUUUGGGAAGUUGUGUUGAACUGGAUGGAAUAUUAGUAGACUAAUUACUUAGACACCCACUCUUACUCUUUCCGGUUGGACAUGAUAACUUGGAUUGUGAAACUGGUGCAUCUGAAUGCAAAAAUUUUAAAUUAUCAAAGAAAGACGGUGAUCACUUGAUUGACCGUUCAAAAUGAUCAUCUUGAGUAGAUUAUCCCUCUUUAGUGAACCUUUGUAUAUAUUUUUUUUGGAGUUGGACACAUUGAGUUUUUUUUUGGGAAAGCAAAUUGACGAAAUUGCAUUUGCAUAUGUACCUUCAUAUUGUAAUCAUAAACGUUAAAUUGGACAUGCAGAGUAUAAUCAUGUGUUAAAAUUCAUAAAAAAAAAAACCAGAAUUUGGUUAUUUCAAAUUUGAGUAAACCACCAAAUUGGUUCAUGUCUUUGUACCAAAUUUUCAAAUUGACCUCUAACUCUAUUAAUAACUCAAAAUGGUCACUUUCUUUGUCAAACGUUUCUCAGAUUGGUCCCUGCCUCUAUUAGUUGUUUUGCAUUUUAAGCCAUUAACGUACCAAAUAAGAUCCAAAAGGCAUUAUUCCAUAAACCAGUAAAUAAUAUCCAAAACACGUUGAAUCGAUAACACUCAAAAUACAAAACAAUUAAUAAAGGCAGAGACCAAUCUAAGAAACAUUUGACAAAGACAGAGACCAUUUUGAAUUAUUAAUAGAGUCAGGGACCAAAUUGAAAAUUUGGUACAAAGACAGUGACCAAUUUGAUGGUUUACUCAUUUCAAAUUCUAUAAUCUGAAAAACCGCAUAACAAAAACAUAUGAGAAACGAAGUCUUCACUUAUUGGACUUCAUUUGGACAUCUUUAAUUUUAGAUAUGAUUUAAAUACCACAUCAAAUCUAAGUUGAUUUGACAAUAAAUCUCAGCACUGCGAUAAACUAAAGAAAGAAAACAAAACUACAUAUGAAAAAUUUCUAAUUAGUAACGACAACAUACAUCUUAAUAAAUUCAAAAAAUAAAAAUAAAUAAACUAUAUCAAAUAAAUCUCAAAAUUGACCAAUGAGUAAAGACAAUUAAAAUAAGUAAAGACAAAAACAAUAAAAAAAAAUACACAUAUGAGGGAUAAUUAUCAAGAUUUUCAAUUAAUACAUAAAGAUAUUAUCAUCUUAUAUUAUUCCUAAAACAAAUUUUAUUACCAUUAUACACUUAUAUUUACUAUUUUGUGAUUUUCGUUGUAUUUCUUUACCAUAUUACAGAUGCAGAGUAUCCAUUGGUAAUGAAUAACUAAUCUCAACACGAAAAUCUUAUUGGUCAUCUUUAAUAGAGUCUCCCUUUCUCAUAUGUAACCCUGAAAUUUGAACAUGCUACUUUAUUUCAGACAUGUGAGUCUAGUUACAGCCAUACC
RNAcentral lists this long non-coding RNA (1717 nucleotides) under Medicago truncatula (barrel medic). RNAcentral's name for it is "long non-coding RNA (MTRU_LNC005250)". The record is from RNAcentral. Lineage: Eukaryota; Viridiplantae; Streptophyta; Magnoliopsida; Fabales; Fabaceae.